This 424-nucleotide ribosomal RNA is filed under the name Verrucomicrobiota bacterium. RNAcentral's name for it is "Verrucomicrobia bacterium partial 16S ribosomal RNA". It matches the Rfam family "Bacterial small subunit ribosomal RNA", at positions 355 to 776 of the family's 1533-position model. The record is from RNAcentral. Lineage: Bacteria; Pseudomonadati; Verrucomicrobiota.
UGAGGAAUAUUGGUCAAUGGGCGAGAGCCUGAACCAGCCAAGUAGCGUGCAGGACGACGGCCCUAUGGGUUGUAAACUGCUUUUAUGUGGGGAUAAAGUGCGUGACGUGUCAUGCAUUGCAGGUACCACAUGAAUAAGGACCGGCUAAUUCCGUGCCAGCAGCCGCGGUAAUACGGAAGGUCCGGGCGUUAUCCGGAUUUAUUGGGUUUAAAGGGAGCGUAGGCUGUCUAUUAAGCGUGUUGUGAAAUGUAAGAGCUCAACUUUUAGAUUGCAGCGCGAACUGGCAGACUUGAGUGCGCACAACGUAGGCGGAAUUCAUGGUGUAGCGGUGAAAUGCUUAGAUAUCAUGACGAACUCCGAUUGCGAAGGCAGCUUACGGGAGCGCAACUGACGCUAAAGCUCGAAGGUGCGGGUAUCGAACAGG